CCUACGGGUGGCAGCAGUGGGGGAUAUUGCACAAUGGGGGAAACCCUGAUGCAGCGAUGCCGCGUGAAUGAAGACGGCCUUCGGGUUGUAAACUGCUUUUAUAAGCGAGAAAUAUGAUGGUAACUUAUGAAUAAGGAUCGGCUAACUACGUGCCAGCAGCCGCGGUCAUACGUAGGAUCCGAGCAUUAUCCGGAGUGACUGGGUGUAAAGAGUUGCGUAGGUGGCAUAAUAAGUAGCUAGUGAAAUCUGGUGGCUCAACCAUUCAGACUAUUAGCUAAACUGUUAAGCUCGAGACCGUUAGGGGUAACUGGAAUUUCUAGUGUAGGAGUGAAAUCCGUAGAUAUUAGAAGGAACACCAAUAGCGUAGGCAGGUUGCUGGGACGGUUCUGACACUAAGGCACGAAAGCGUAGGGAGCAAACGGGAUUAGAUACCCUUGUAGUC
This 442-nucleotide ribosomal RNA is filed under the name uncultured bacterium. Its description in RNAcentral is "partial 16S ribosomal RNA". It matches the Rfam family "Bacterial small subunit ribosomal RNA", at positions 338 to 795 of the family's 1533-position model. The record is from RNAcentral.